GGAUUAGGCAUGCAAGUCGCACGAGAAAGGCUUCUUCGGAAGCCGAGUAAAGUGGCGAACGGGUGAGUAAUGCAUAGACAACUCGCCCUUGAGAUGUGGACAACGCCUCGAAAGGGGUGCUAAUACCCAAUGCCGCCUUGGGCCUGCGGGUCCAGGGUGAAAGGAGGCCUCUGAUUCAAGCUUCCGCUCAAGGAGAGGUUUAUGUCCUAUUAGCUAGUUGGCGGGGUAACGGCCCACCAAGGCCGCGAUGGGUAGCCGACCUGAGAGGGUGACCGGCCACAUUGGGACUGAGACACUGCCCAGACUCCUACGGGAGGCUGCAGUCGAGAAUCUUCCGCAAUGCGCGCAAGCGUGACGGAGCGACGCCGCGUGGGUGAUGAAGGCCUUCGGGUUGUAAAACCCUGUCAGCUACUACGAAACACGGGCGAUGAACAAUCGUCCCGUCUGACUUAAGUAGCAGAGGAAGCACCGGCUAACUACGUGCCAGCAGCCGCGGUAAUACGUAGGGUGCGAACGUUGUUCGGAAUCACUGGGCAUAAAGGGCGCGUAGGCGGUCUGAUAAGUCAGGUGUGAAAUCCCUCGGCCUAACCGAGGAACUGCAUUUGAUACUGUCGGGCUAGAGUACAGGAGGGGAGAGUGGAAUUCCUGGUGGAGCGGUGAAAUGCGUAGAUAUCAGGAGGAACGCCGGCGGCGAAAGCGACUCUCUGGCCUGUUACUGACGCUGAGGCGCGAAAGCUAGGGGAGCAAACGGGAUUAGAUACCCCGGUAGUCCUAGCCCUAAACGAUGGGCACUAAGUAGAGGGGUUUU
RNAcentral lists this ribosomal RNA (808 nucleotides) under uncultured Planctomycetota bacterium. RNAcentral's name for it is "bacterial SSU rRNA". It matches the Rfam family "Bacterial small subunit ribosomal RNA", at positions 46 to 832 of the family's 1533-position model. Lineage: Bacteria; Pseudomonadati; Planctomycetota. The record is from RNAcentral.